Molecule: non-coding RNA, 483 nt
Organism: Melospiza melodia melodia
Lineage: Eukaryota; Metazoa; Chordata; Aves; Passeriformes; Passerellidae
Source: the annotation of a RefSeq genome assembly
CGGGCAGCCGUGACCCUGCUGGAGUGCGGGGGGGACCUCCAGCCCCCCGGGGGGUCCCUGACGUUGCUGUGCCGCGCAUCUGGGUUCAGUUUCAGGAGUUUUGGAAUGUUCUGGAUCCGCCAGAGACCUGGGCAGACACUGGAAUACAUCGCCAGUAUCAACAGCAAUGGUGGCAGCACCCACUACGCGCCGUCGGUCAAGGGCCGGUUCACGAUCUCCAGGGACAACGGGCAGAGCUCGGUGACGCUGACCAUGAACAACCUCAAGGACGAGGAUUCCGCCGUUUAUUUCUGUGCCAAACGUACUACUAGUAGUUAUGAUGGUGCUGCUGCUUUUAGUGACGAUGGCCGUGGUGGAUCCAUCCCCAUCUGUGUGUCCUCACCUGUCCCCAAACCCAGACCCUUCCUUCAAAUUGUCCCCCGAACCUCAGCCCUUGACCCUUUGUCCCAAAUCUCCCCCAUUUGCCCCAAUGGUCAGCACUGA